This 468-nucleotide ribosomal RNA is filed under the name uncultured bacterium. RNAcentral's name for it is "partial 16S ribosomal RNA". It matches the Rfam family "Bacterial small subunit ribosomal RNA", at positions 28 to 507 of the family's 1533-position model. The record is from RNAcentral.
GACGAACGCUGGCGGCGUGCUUAACACAUGCAAGUCGAACGGUGAAGCUCGAGAUUGCUGGAGUGGAUCAGUGGAGAACGGGUGAGUAACACGUGAGCAACCUGCCCCUGACUCUGGAAUAAGCGCUGGAAACGGCGUCUAAUACUGGAUACGAGAAGGGUCCGCAUGGGGAGUUUCUGGAAAGUUUGUCGGUUGGGGAUGGGCUCGCGGCCUAUCAGCUUGUUGGUGAGGUAAUGGAUCACCAAGGCGACGACGGGUAGCCGGCCUGAGAGGGCGACAGGCCACGCUGCGACUGAGACACGGCCCAGACCCCUACGCUACGCAGCAGUGCGGAAUAUUGUACAAUGGGCGAGACGCUGAUGCAGCGACGCCGCGUCGGGUAUGACGGCCUUCGCGUAGUAAACCACUUUCAGCAGGCAAGAAACGAAAAUGACGGUACCUGCAGAAGAAGCACCGGCUAACUACGUG